UGCCAGCAGGGAGAGCGGAGAGUUCAGGAACUUGUGGUCAAGAGAAUUUGAACAAGGAAGGUUUUCAAAACCUUUUAAUACAGCUAAGCAACAAAAGCCAGGGAAAGAGUAACAUGGGUGAUUGUGCUGGAUUGACUAGGAAAAGAUAGAUCAGUGUGGGACUGAGACAAAGAAUGCAGACAACUGCUUCUAGAGGCUGAUGUCUGAGAAUUUGGCUAGGCAAAGGGGAAAGGAGAAAGGGUGGGAAGAGUAAGAGGCUGCGAGAUGAGCACACAGCUGAGCAGCCUGCACAGAAUAGAGAAACAGACUCAAGACAUGAUGCGGAUUUAGAGUAGGGCCAGAUUGCAGCCAUUCCUGGAACUCAAUGAAGAGAACUGUAUUUGAUGUAGAAGGGAGUUGAUGGCCUUGGGAGGCUUUGACAGUUUUAUAUGACGAAUAUUCAUCAGCCACCACUGACAGCCGACAACUCUGCCGUGACUGGUACAUAGAACUGUGAGCCUACAUGAAGUGAGCAGCUUCCUGCCCUGAGCCACAACAGACCCAAAAGCAGUAGAGCCCUCGAAGAGUUACCUCUCACCUUCCAGUCCUCCUUCAAACACAAGAAGACAUUGAAAAAAAGGAAGAAAAAAAUAGUAAAUCUAAUUUCUGUUGUACUGAACGGAUCAUGGUCAAACUCCCAGUGGCUGUCCCCUUAAAGAAAACUAAGUUCUUCUCCACCCCACCCAGCCAGAAGCUAUCAACUGUGA
Mastomys coucha (southern multimammate mouse) is the source of this 746-nucleotide long non-coding RNA. RefSeq lists it as uncharacterized. The record is from RefSeq and is a predicted model, not a curated record. NCBI's taxonomy places the organism in Eukaryota, Metazoa, Chordata, Mammalia, Rodentia, Muridae. The transcript is spliced from 3 exons.